Molecule: ribosomal RNA, 405 nt
Filed under: uncultured bacterium
Lineage: Bacteria
Description: partial 16S ribosomal RNA
Rfam family: Bacterial small subunit ribosomal RNA
Source: RNAcentral
AUUGAACGCUGGCGGCAGGCUUAACACAUGCAAGUCGAACGAGUGGCGGACGGGUGAGUAGUGCUUGGGAAUCUAGCUUAUGGAGGGGGAUAAAUCCGGGAAACCGUAGCUAAUACCGCGUAACAUAGGAUGAGACCCAGUGGGAUUAGGUAGUUGGUGAGUGAAAGGCGCACCAAGCCGACGAUCUCUAGCUGGUCUGAGAGGAUGACCAGCCACACGGGGACUGAGACACGGCCCAGACUCCUACGGGAGGCAGCAGUGGGGAAUAUUGGGCAAUGGGGGCAACCUGACGCAGCCAUGCCGCGUGAAGGAAGAAGGCUUUCGGGUUGUAAAGUUCUUUCGGUAGCGAGGCGUUAACUACAGAAGAAGCACCGGCUAACUCCGUGCCAGCAGCCGCGGUAAUAC